This 72-nucleotide transfer RNA is filed under the name Camelus bactrianus (Bactrian camel). It matches the Rfam family "tRNA". From Rfam's summary of the family: Transfer RNA (tRNA) molecules are approximately 80 nucleotides in length. Their secondary structure includes four short double-helical elements and three loops (D, anti-codon, and T loops). Further hydrogen bonds mediate the characteristic L-shaped molecular structure. tRNAs have two regions of fundamental functional importance: the anti-codon, which is responsible for specific mRNA codon recognition, and the 3' end, to which the tRNAs corresponding amino acid is attached (by aminoacyl-tRNA synthetases). tRNAs cope with the degeneracy of the genetic code in two manners: having more than one tRNA (with a specific anti-codon) for a particular amino acid; and 'wobble' base-pairing, i.e. permitting non-standard base-pairing at the 3rd anti-codon position. RNAcentral also lists the same sequence under 2 other names. Lineage: Eukaryota; Metazoa; Chordata; Mammalia; Artiodactyla; Camelidae. The record is from Rfam by way of RNAcentral.
GGUGGUAUAGCUCAGUGGUAGAGUGUGUGCUUAGCAUGCACAAGGUCCUGGUUUCAAUCCCCAGCGGCUCCA